RNAcentral lists this ribosomal RNA (467 nucleotides) under uncultured bacterium. RNAcentral describes it as "partial 16S ribosomal RNA". It matches the Rfam family "Bacterial small subunit ribosomal RNA", at positions 28 to 506 of the family's 1533-position model. The record is from RNAcentral.
GACGAACGCUGGCGGCGUGCUUAACACAUGCAAGUCGAACGGAAAGGCCCUGCUUUUGUGGGGUGCUCGAGUGGCGAACGGGUGAGUAACACGUGAGUAACCUGCCCUUGACUUUGGGAUAACUUCAGGAAACUGGGGCUAAUACCGGAUAGGAGCUCCUGCUGCAUGGUGGGGGUUGGAAAGUUUCGGCGGUUGGGGAUGGACUCGCGGCUUAUCAGCUUGUUGGUGGGGUAGUGGCUUACCAAGGCUUUGACGGGUAGCCGGCCUGAGAGGGUGACCGGCCACAUGGGGACUGAGAUACGGCCCAGACUCCUACGGGAGGCAGCAGUGGGGAAUAUGGCACAAUGGGCGGAAGCCUGAUGCAGCAACGCCGCGUGCGGGAUGACGGCCUUCGGGUGGUAAACCGCUUUCGCCUGUGACGAAGCGUGAGUGACGGUAAUGGGGAAAGAAGCACCGGCUAACUACGU